Alligator sinensis (Chinese alligator) is the source of this 275-nucleotide long non-coding RNA. RefSeq lists it as uncharacterized. The transcript is spliced from 3 exons. NCBI's taxonomy places the organism in Eukaryota, Metazoa, Chordata, Crocodylia, Alligatoridae. The record is from RefSeq and is a predicted model, not a curated record.
GCUUGUAGAUGCCACAGGCAGCUCUUCACCGGGAACGGGGCAGUGCACGGUGCUGGGAUCCCUGCGGUUAGAAGAAGAGGAGCACAGGGGAGCCGAGUCUCGAGGUUGCUUGAAGGAUGCCCAGCACAGAGACCGCGGGGGCUAUGACAUGGUGGUGACAUCGGGCAGCGAGGCAGAGUCCUGUCUGGUUUCAAGGACUGCACCGAGUGGUUUGCAAGAGGGGAAAUGGUGAUGACGGAAGAAGCCUCCUGCUGGGGUGCAGAAUCUGUGAUGCA